GAAUAUUGGACAAUGGGCGGAAGCCUGAUCCAGCAACGCCGCGUGAGGGAUGACGGCCUUCGGGUUGUAAACCUCUUUCAGUACCGACGAAGCGAAAGUGACGGUAGGUACAGAAGAAGGACCGGCCAACUACGUGCCAGCAGCCGCGGUAAUACGUAGGGUCCGAGCGUUGUCCGGAAUUAUUGGGCGUAAAGGGCUCGUAGGCGGUUUGUCGCGUCGGGAGUGAAAACACCGGGCUUAACUCGGUGCUUGCUUUCGAUACGGGCAGUCAAGAGGUAUGCAGGGGAGAAUGGAAUUCCUGGUGUAGCGGUGAAAUGCGCAGAUAUCAGGAGGAACACCGGUGGCGAAGGCGGUUCUCUGGGCAUUACCUGACGCUGAGGAGCGAAAGUGUGGGGAGCGAACAG
Molecule: ribosomal RNA, 404 nt
Filed under: uncultured bacterium
Lineage: Bacteria
Description: bacterial SSU rRNA
Rfam family: Bacterial small subunit ribosomal RNA
Source: RNAcentral